GACCAUCUUAGUUUAAAAAAAACAAAAAUUUGUGAAAUUUUAAAAGAAAGUAAUAUAAAUCUUUCAGGUAGUC
This 73-nucleotide transfer RNA is filed under the name Gorgonocephalus chilensis. RNAcentral describes it as "tRNA-His". The record is from RNAcentral. Lineage: Eukaryota; Metazoa; Echinodermata; Ophiuroidea; Euryalida; Gorgonocephalidae.